GAUGAACGCUGGCGGCGUGCCUAAUACAUGCAAGUCGAGCGAACGGACGAGAAGCUUGCUUCUCUGAUGUUAGCGGCGGACGGGUGAGUAACACGUGGAUAACCUACCUAUAAGACUGGGAUAACUUCGGGAAACCGGAGCUAAUACCGGAUGAUAUUUUGAACCGCGUGGUUCAAAAGUGAAAGACGGUCUUGCUGUCACUUAUAGAUGGAUCCGCGCUGCAUUAGCUAGUUGGUAAGGUAACGGCUUACCAAGGCAACGAUGCAUAGCCGACCUGAGAGGGUGAUCGGCCACACUGGAACUGAGACACGGUCCAGACUCCUACGGGAGGCAGCAGUAGGGAAUCUUCCGCAAAGGGCGAAAGCCUGACGGAGCAACGCCGCGUGAGUGAUGAAGGUCUUCGGAUCGUAAAACUCUGUUAUUAGGGAAGAACAUAUGUGUAAGUAACUGUGCACAUCUUGACGGUACCUAAUCAGAAAGCCACGGCUAACUACGUG
This 497-nucleotide ribosomal RNA is filed under the name uncultured bacterium. Its description in RNAcentral is "partial 16S ribosomal RNA". It matches the Rfam family "Bacterial small subunit ribosomal RNA", at positions 28 to 507 of the family's 1533-position model. The record is from RNAcentral.